RNAcentral lists this ribosomal RNA (269 nucleotides) under uncultured prokaryote. Its description in RNAcentral is "partial 16S ribosomal RNA". It matches the Rfam family "Bacterial small subunit ribosomal RNA", at positions 524 to 792 of the family's 1533-position model. The record is from RNAcentral.
UACGUAGGUGGCAAGCGUUAUCCGGAAUUAUUGGGCGUAAAGAGCGCGCAGGUGGUUGAUUAAGUCUGAUGUGAAAGCCCACGGCUUAACCGUGGAGGGUCAUUGGAAACUGGUCGACUUGAGUGCAGAAGAGGGAAGUGGAAUUCCAUGUGUAGCGGUGAAAUGCGUAGAUAUCGGGAGGAACACCGGUGGCGAAGGCGGCUUUCUGGCCAGUUACUGACGCUCAUGCGCGAAAGCUGGGGUAGCGAACCGGAUUAGAUACCCCUGUA